GCCCGGGUGGCGAAAUUGGUAGACGCAGCAGACUCAAAAUCUGCCGCUUUCACGAGUGUGCCGGUUCGAGUCCGGCCCCGGGCA
This 84-nucleotide transfer RNA is filed under the name Chitinophagaceae bacterium. Its description in RNAcentral is "tRNA-Leu". It matches the Rfam family "tRNA". From Rfam's summary of the family: Transfer RNA (tRNA) molecules are approximately 80 nucleotides in length. Their secondary structure includes four short double-helical elements and three loops (D, anti-codon, and T loops). The record is from RNAcentral. Lineage: Bacteria; Pseudomonadati; Bacteroidota; Chitinophagia; Chitinophagales; Chitinophagaceae. RNAcentral also lists the same sequence under 2 other names.